RNAcentral lists this transfer RNA (73 nucleotides) under Marmota monax (woodchuck). RNAcentral describes it as "tRNA.Ala". Lineage: Eukaryota; Metazoa; Chordata; Mammalia; Rodentia; Sciuridae. The record is from RNAcentral.
UGGGGUUGUGGCUCAGUGGUAGAGCACUUGCCUAGCAUGUGUGAAGCACUGGGUUCACAACUCAGCACCACAA